AAAUCGGCAAUGACAGGAUUUAGUAAUGCUUCGUUUUUUUGUAUCAGAGAGCUGAUGGUCGGUGCAAAUCAGUACAGAGCGAUUCAUGAAAUACACCCUCGAGCUUCUUUUGUGAACCUUUUUAGUAGCAAAAGACGGAUUCUCCGUUAUCUUAAUGAAGUAGUGAAAACAAAACUGUUUUCACAAGUUAGGGUGGUACCGCGACACGUUCGCCCCUGCA
Molecule: non-coding RNA, 220 nt
Filed under: Bacillus sp. (in: firmicutes)
Lineage: Bacteria; Bacillati; Bacillota; Bacilli; Caryophanales; Bacillaceae
Also listed under: 1 other name
Description: Bacillus sp. T-box sequence
Rfam family: T-box leader
About the family: Uncharged tRNA acts as the effector for transcription antitermination of genes in the T-box leader family. T-boxes are found upstream of many aminoacyl-tRNA synthetase genes and some amino acid biosynthetic genes usually in Gram-positive bacteria.
Source: RNAcentral